Molecule: long non-coding RNA, 942 nt
Organism: Gallus gallus (chicken)
Lineage: Eukaryota; Metazoa; Chordata; Aves; Galliformes; Phasianidae
Source: Ensembl
GUACAGGGAGCUGUUCUGAUUGUGCUACUGAGACUGUUCUUCCAGUGAGUGAAAUGUUUUCAUAUUGCAGUGUAAUCGUGGGCAUUGUGGAUGGCACAGUGGUGAAAAUGGGAACACACACAGAGCUGAUGGGGAAAAAGGAGCCAGAUUAUUCACUUCCAACCUCACAGAUGGCAGCAGAGGGGAACUCUGACAAAAUGGCAUCUGACAUGGAAGCACAUAUGGAGCAACGAAUGGAAUUGAAUUUGCCCAUGAGGAAAAAAUGGCACCUCCUGACACUCACUGAUGUUUGCUGAAUGUUUCUGGAGACCAAACAGUGGAUGUGAGCACAGUGAGGCGGUGGGUGGUGCCUUCCAGCACUGGCAACGGUGACAGUGGGUCACCUCCACUCAUACAGAUAUUUAUGAGCAGGGUAUGCAGGCUCUUAUCCACUGCUAGUGAAAAUGCACAGAUAAUAGUGGUGACUGUGCUUAAAAUAGUGUUUUGUAGGUGAGAAUUUGUUCUAUCAAAUAGUGUUUUUGUGCUUGUUGUAUCUGUUGUCAUUUCCAUAGAAAUAAUUAGGAGGAAGAGAAACGUGCAUAUAUGAUUUGUCUAAUACAGCUAGAAAAUGUCUCCCAAACUGGUAACCCUUUACUAUCUUUUCAACCUUCUACCAAUUUCCUUGAAUAAAGAGAAAUUACAGUCAUUCUCAUAAAAGCAAACCAAAGCCCAACAUGUUAUUAUGACCUGAUGAAACUAAGUGCACAGGAAUUUUCUGGAACAACUGCAGACUUUGUUGAAGCCUGCUAAUUGCCAUUUUAAUACAAGUAGUUAUUUCAAUACUUUCUUUCACAGUAGUAUUUUUUGAUGUUUUAGGAAUUUUCUAGACACAUCCAUAAUGUACUUCCAUUGUGAUUGUUCAAACUAGUGUUGUGUAAAAAUAAAAUUGUAGAAGUUGUUGUU